CUGCUAGCCUUGAAGACUGAAAGUCUCUUUAUUGAUGGAAUGUGUACAGCAAGGCAGCAGCAGUGCAAACAUCCCUUGCACUGCCCUGCCUAUGUGUCUUGACCCUGUCCUCAAGGGACUUCUACUAAUGAGAGGGCUGUUUUUUCUCCAUGGCCUUUUCAAACUUUGGUCUCU
Molecule: small RNA, 174 nt
Filed under: Chelonoidis abingdonii (Abingdon island giant tortoise)
Lineage: Eukaryota; Metazoa; Chordata; Testudines; Testudinidae
Description: TUC338 (ENSCABG00000006888.1)
Source: RNAcentral